CCUACGGGUGGCAGCAGUGAGGAAUAUUGGUCAAUGGCCGUAAGCCUGACCCAGCCAAGUCGCGUGAGGGAAGACUGCCCUCUGGGUUGUAAACCUCUUUUAUGCGGAGAUAAGGGUGUCCACGUGUUGAUGUUUGCAUGUACCGCAUGUAUAAGGGCAGGCUAGUUCAAUGCCAGCCGCCGCGGUGAUACGGAGGGUCCGGGCGUUAUCCGGAUUUAUUGGGUUUAAAGGGAACGUAGGCCGGUCGUUAAGCGUACCGUGAAAUUUUGUGGCUCAACCAUGGGAGUGCGUGGCCAACUGGAGACCUGGAGUGUGUGGAAGGCAGGUGGAAUUCGUGGUGUAGGGGUGAAAUGCUUAGAUAUCAGGAAGAACCACGAUGGCGAAGGCAGCCUGCCGCAGCGUUACUGACGCUGAAGCUCGAAAGCGCGGGUAGCGAACAGGAUUAGAUACCCUUGUAGUC
RNAcentral lists this ribosomal RNA (460 nucleotides) under uncultured bacterium. Its description in RNAcentral is "partial 16S ribosomal RNA". It matches the Rfam family "Bacterial small subunit ribosomal RNA", at positions 338 to 795 of the family's 1533-position model. The record is from RNAcentral.